GUGGGGAAUAUUGGACAAUGGGGGGAACCCUGAUCCAGCCAUGCUGCGUGUGUGAAGAAGGCCUUUUGGUUGUAAAGCACUUUAAGCGAGGAGGAGGCUACCGAGAUUAAUACUCUUGGAUAGUGGACGUUACUCGCAGAAUAAGCACCGGCUAACUCUGUGCCAGCAGCCGCGGUAAUACAGAGGGUGCGAGCGUUAAUCGGAUUUACUGGGCGUAAAGCGUGCGUAGGCGGCUUUUUAAGUCGGAUGUGAAAUCCCCGAGCUUAACUUGGGAAUUGCAUUCGAUACUGGGAAGCUAGAGUAUGGGAGAGGAUGGUAGAAUUCCAGGUGUAGCGGUGAAAUGCGUAGAGAUCUGGAGGAAUGCCGAUGGCGAAGGCAGCCAUCUGGCCUAAUACUGACGCUGAGGUACGAAAGCAUGGGGAGCAAACAGGAUUAGAUACCCUAGUAGUCC
Molecule: ribosomal RNA, 451 nt
Filed under: uncultured bacterium
Lineage: Bacteria
Description: partial 16S ribosomal RNA
Rfam family: Bacterial small subunit ribosomal RNA
Source: RNAcentral